CUUCCAUCAAGGGCACCAAUUAUUGUUGAUUGCUUUAAUGUGCACACUUUCUCGCUAAGAACUGGACCAAGACCACUAGCUCUUCCCAUGAAUACAUCACAAAACUUGGGCUGGAUUUCACAUGAAAAGUGUAAACUGUGACACAGAAAAUUUCAGAGGAAGCCUUUGGUGGAAUCAGCAGUGGAACCCAAGAGCCCUGAAUCUCAGUCUACUGCUCCAAACACCAGAAAACACUGUCAAGAAAAUGUUGCUUGGAUACAAAAAGAUUUCACCUUGAGAAACAGCCCUACAGCAGCAGAGCAUCUGUGCAAGAUAGGAAACUGGCUGAGACGGACCAAGGAAGAUAUGUUCCAGAUCGUGCUGCAACAGUCAGAGGCUGAAAACACUGAACACAAGAAGUGGAGGGAAAGUGAAAAGCAGGAAAGAGAAGGAUACUUACAAGAGGGAUGCCACAGAGAGGCUGAUUUAAAGUUAUGGAUUGUCAAACCGACAUGCUCCAGACUCUCAUAACAUUGCAGACUGAGCAGAUGCAUGCCCGUCCUCUCCUUCACAGCAUUGUAAACUCUUUCCCAUGCACUCCCCAAACUCCCCCUGCGCAUUCCUUUCCACCUUCUGGCACUUUGCGCUUUCCUCUACACUCCACCCCCACAGACAGCUGUUCCAACGAAAGCUGGACCUAUACUCAACUAUGAAAGUCAUCCCCCUUCUGAAUUCCAUCCCCCCCCUGCAACUGUGUAGAUGGCUGUGUGUGUCUGUGUGUUGGUGUGGUUUUUCUGUCAAUAAAAGCAGUGUUUUUAUUAA
Mauremys mutica (yellowpond turtle) is the source of this 801-nucleotide long non-coding RNA. RefSeq lists it as uncharacterized. The transcript is spliced from 3 exons. Lineage: Eukaryota; Metazoa; Chordata; Testudines; Geoemydidae. The record is from RefSeq and is a predicted model, not a curated record.